Molecule: long non-coding RNA, 1366 nt
Organism: Trichomycterus rosablanca
Lineage: Eukaryota; Metazoa; Chordata; Actinopteri; Siluriformes; Trichomycteridae
Exons: 2
Source: RefSeq, a predicted model, not a curated record
AUCUCAUCUGCUAACCAAUCAGCAGCUUCUGUCACUUUUAUUGUGCUUUAAUUUAUUUAUUUCUCCUCGACGGUCGUGUGUUGCAUACGAAGCAAAAGCUGUAGCAUCGUUUUGGGAGAGGUGAAGCAGGCGCUCAUAGCACAUCAGGGACGGACUGAACCGCGGAUUGCAUGACUAGAUUACCCAGAAUCCCCUGAGACGUUGACGCGGUCUGUACAGCACAAAGCUGGGCUCACGUUGGACGUUGAUUAACGCUGGCGCUCCUGCACGUUGUCGAUGAGAGGCUGAGGUGUGUCGUUUCAGCGCCGCACAAAGACAAGAGAGGAAACAAGGGCGUGGCCGACCUGGGUGCCACUUUAAAUUACUCCAUCACUCAGGAGAAUCUGGACUGGACUGCACUUCUACAUUUCCAUUGACCGGGACUUUAAUGUUUGCAGCCCUGCCACUAUAUGCAGCUAGCUAGCUCCAUGCAGGAAUGCUCACAUGAAAACAGAGAGAUAAAUGUUUGGAUAAAACGACGUGAUGUGAUUUUAACAACAAAAAAGAUCCAGUGUGAAUAACUUUGCAGAUCGAAGCAAAUCGAAGCACGAAUAAAUCAGCUUUAACCUUUUAAGACCCUGCGGUCACAUAUGGGGACGUCACCGUACCUUGUUCUGCCUAACUUAGACCUGUUGUCCUCAUUAGUAGACGCUUCUGUCGGCCAUCUAGUGAUACCAGACAAUAAAUAACAUAAAAACAAGAUGAAAAUGCAUAAAAGAUCAAAGCUCGGGUCUUAGGAGGAUAAAUCGAGCAUAAAACGAAGCUGCUAAACACGAUGUGCAGUCAGGACGCUGCAUCAGGUUCUUCAUGAUGUUUAUGUUUGUGCUUUUUACUAUUUAAUGGUAACUGACAGAGAUGAUGUUGUGAUAAAUGACGGCUGAUUUUGAUCUGAGGUCUGUAGAGGAAUUGUGCAUCCUCAAACCCUCGAUCAUGAUCUCUGGUAUCAGCCGAAUUCCCUCCAGCCACAAAGUCAAGGGUUCAUCCACAUGUAGAAUAUUUUAUUUAUUUCCAGCCCUGGACUCCUGAACUGAAUGAACUUUGUAAUCAUUUUAUCAUGUAUACGGGAUGGUGUGUAUAUGGUGUGUACAUGGGAUGGUGUGGGAUUGUACAGUUCCGACCCCCCUCAGUUCCACCGCAUGAUGUAUAAACAUGACUGCAGAACGAACUACGGAGCGUAUAAUUGAACCUGGGACUCAAAAACAAACAGAAGGACUUUUAUUCUGUAUUUUUCUCUGAUUUUAAUCCUGGAUCACGUCACAGGACUUUUAAUCUGAAGCACCUAUAAAAUCUACAAACACUCAAAUAAAGCAAUGGAAUCAUUAAAAAA